AUGAAUUAGAAAGAAAGAGAUCAGGUUAUUUAUGAUCGGAGAAAAGGAAGGGGCGUGGUUGAUGUGUCACUGGGAACCCGUAGGAAGGGGAGACGACCGGCCUCAUUCACAUCUGAAAUCGCCAACAUGAACGCUUUCGAGCACGUACGCUGGCGCUCUUUGAUAGAGCAUUAUCUACAACCCUGA
Molecule: ribosomal RNA, 186 nt
Filed under: Triticum aestivum (bread wheat)
Lineage: Eukaryota; Viridiplantae; Streptophyta; Magnoliopsida; Poales; Poaceae
Description: partial small subunit ribosomal RNA
Source: RNAcentral